UACGGGGGGUGCGAGCGUUGUCCGGAAUCACUGGGCGUAAAGGGCGCGUAGGUGGUUUGAUAAGGGUGUGGUGAAAGCCCCGGGCUCAACUUGGGAACUGCAUUUGAUACUGUCAGACUAGAGUACAGAAGAGGUGACUGGAAUUCCCAGUGUAGCGGUGAAAUGCGUAGAUAUUGGGAGGAACACCAGAUGCGAAGGCGG
This 201-nucleotide ribosomal RNA is filed under the name uncultured prokaryote. RNAcentral describes it as "partial 16S ribosomal RNA". It matches the Rfam family "Bacterial small subunit ribosomal RNA", at positions 524 to 724 of the family's 1533-position model. The record is from RNAcentral.